AAGAAAUUAGUUAAACCAUAACAUUAAUAUGUCAUGUUAAAAUUAUUAAAUAAAUUAAUAUUUCUUU
RNAcentral lists this transfer RNA (67 nucleotides) under Ruspolia sp. ZJZ-2017. RNAcentral's name for it is "tRNA-Asp". Lineage: Eukaryota; Metazoa; Arthropoda; Insecta; Orthoptera; Tettigoniidae. The record is from RNAcentral.